RNAcentral lists this ribosomal RNA (475 nucleotides) under uncultured bacterium. Its description in RNAcentral is "bacterial SSU rRNA". It matches the Rfam family "Bacterial small subunit ribosomal RNA", at positions 28 to 507 of the family's 1533-position model. The record is from RNAcentral.
GAUGAACGCUGGCGGCGUGCUUAACACAUGCAAGUCGAACGGACUUAUUUUUAUGAAGCUUGCUUCGCGAGAUAAGUUAGUGGCGGACGGGUGAGUAACGCGUGGGUAACCUGCCGUAUGCUGGGGGACAACAGUUGGAAACGACUGCUAAUACCGCAUAAGCGCACAGUUUCGCAUGGAACGGUGUGAAAAACUCCGGUGGCAUACGAUGGCCUCGCGUCUGAUUAGCUAGUUGGCGGGGUAACGGCCUACCAAGGCGACGAUCGGUAGCCGACCUGAGAGGGUGAUCGGCCACAUUGGGACUGAGACACGGCCCAAACUCCUACGGGAGGCAGCAGUGGGGAAUAUUGGGCAAUGGGGGAAACCCUGACCCAGCAACGCCGCGUGGAGGAAGAAGGUUUUCGGAUCGUAAACUCCUGUCCUCAGGGAAGAGCAGAAGACGGUACCUGAGGAGGAAGCCCCGGCUAACUACGUG